This 1239-nucleotide ribosomal RNA is filed under the name metagenome. Its description in RNAcentral is "bacterial LSU rRNA". It matches the Rfam family "Bacterial large subunit ribosomal RNA", at positions 1564 to 2813 of the family's 2925-position model. The record is from RNAcentral.
UGAAUACGAGAUGCUACGGCGUCGAAGCAGUCUAUGUCAUACUUCCAAGAAAAGCUCGCACUGUCAUAAACAAAUAAUGCCUGUACCAUAACCGACACAGGUGGGUAGGUAGAGUAUACUAAGGGGCGCGAGAUAACUCUCUCUAAGGAACUCGGCAAAAUGACUCCGUAACUUCGGGAGAAGGAGUGCCUUAUUUAUAAGGUUGCAAUAACAAGAUCCAAGCAACUGUUUAUCAAAAACACAGGUCUCCGCUAAGUCGUAAGACGAUGUAUGGGGGCUGACGCCUGCCCAGUGCCAGAAGGUUAAAGAAGUUGGUUAGCAUUCGCGAAGCUGAUAACUGAAGCCCUGGUGAACGGCGGCCGUAACUAUAACGGUCCUAAGGUAGCGAAAUUCCUUGUCGGGUAAGUUCCGACCCGCACGAAAGGCGUAAUGAUUUGGAUACUGUCUCGGAGAGGGGCUCGGUGAAAUAGACUUGUCUGUGAAGAUGCGGACUACCUGCACCAGGACAGAAAGACCCUAUGAAGCUUUACUGUAACUUGAGAUUGAAAUUGGACUUUACUUGCGCAGUAUAGGUGGGAGGCGUUGAUAAUAUUCUUGCGGGAUUAUUUGAGCCAUCAGUGAGAUACCACUCUUGUAAUGUUAGAUUUCUAACUUUGUAUCAUUAUCUGGUCAAAGGACAGUUUCAGGCGGGCAGUUUGACUGGGGCGGUCGCCUCCUAAACGGUAACGGAGGCGCACAAAGGUUUCCUCUGAACGGGUAGAAAUCGUAUCUAGAGUGUAAAGGCAUAAGGAAGCUUGACUGUGAGACCUACAAGUCGAGCAGGGACGAAAGUCGGUCUUAGUGAUCUGACGGUGCUGAGUGGAAAGGCCGUCACUCAACGGAUAAAAGUUACUCUAGGAUAACAGGCUGAUCUCCCCCAAGAGUUCACAUCGACGGGGAGGUUUGGCACCUCGAUGUCGGCUCAUCGCAUCCUGGGGCGGUAGUACGUCCCAAGGGUUGGGCUGUUCGCCCAUGAAAGCGGUACGCGAGCUGGGUUCAGAACGUCGUGAGACAGUUCGGUCCAUAUCCGGUGUAGGCGUUAGAAUAUUGAGAGGAGCCUUCUUUAGUACGAGAGGACCGAGAAGGACAUACCUCUGGUGUACCAGUUAUCGUGCCAACGGUAAACGCUGGGUAGCUAUGUAUGGAGUGGAUAACCGCUGAAAGCAUCUAAGUGGGAAGCCCACCUCAAGAUAAGUAUUC